UACAGAGGAUGCAAGCGUUAUCCGGAAUGAUUGGGCGUAAAGCGUCUGUAGGUGGCUUUUUAAGUCCGCCGUCAAAUCCCAGGGCUCAACCCUGGACAGGCGGUGGAAACUACCAAGCUGGAGUACGGUAGGGGCAGAGGGAAUUUCCGGUGGAGCGGUGAAAUGCGUAGAGAUCAUGAGGAAGACCAGUGGCGAAGGCGGGUCUCUGGACAGUUCCUGACACUGAGGCACGAAGGCCAGGGGAGCAAACGGG
RNAcentral lists this ribosomal RNA (253 nucleotides) under uncultured bacterium. Its description in RNAcentral is "partial 16S ribosomal RNA". It matches the Rfam family "Bacterial small subunit ribosomal RNA", at positions 524 to 776 of the family's 1533-position model. The record is from RNAcentral.